RNAcentral lists this ribosomal RNA (468 nucleotides) under uncultured bacterium. RNAcentral's name for it is "SSU rRNA". It matches the Rfam family "Bacterial small subunit ribosomal RNA", at positions 26 to 518 of the family's 1533-position model. The record is from RNAcentral.
AGGACUAACGCUGGCGGCGUGCCUAACACAUGCAAGUCGAACGAGGGGUAGCAAUACCCCUAGUGGCAGACGGGUGAGUAACACGUAGUCAACCUACCUCUUAAUGGGGGAUAACUAGCCGAAAGGUUAGCUAAUACCGCAUACGAUCGUCGAGUGGCAUCACACGACGAUGAAAGGAGCAAUCCGUUGAGAGAGGGGACUGCGUCCCAUUAGUUAGUUGGUGGGGUAAUGGCCUACCAAGACUCCGAUGGGUAGCUGGCUUGAGAGAGCGACCAGCCACACUGGAACUGAGACACGGUCCAGACUCCUACGGGAGGCAGCAGUGAGGAAUUUUCCGCAAUGGGGGAAACCCUGACGGAGCGACGCCGCGUGUGGGAAGAAGGCCUUCGGUCGGUAAACCACUGUCGAGGGGACGAGUAUUGACGGUACCCCUGGAGGAAGCCCGGCUAACUACGUGCCAGCAGCCGC